RNAcentral lists this ribosomal RNA (253 nucleotides) under uncultured bacterium. Its description in RNAcentral is "partial 16S ribosomal RNA". It matches the Rfam family "Bacterial small subunit ribosomal RNA", at positions 524 to 776 of the family's 1533-position model. The record is from RNAcentral.
UACGUAGGGUGCGAGCGUUGUCCGGAAUCAUUGGGCGUAAAGCGCGUGUAGGCGGCCCGAUAAGUCCGCUGUGAAAGUCCAGGGCUCAACCCUGGGAUGCCGGUGGAUACUGUCGGGCUCGAGUCCGGAAGAGGCGAGUGGAAUUCCUGGUGUAGCGGUGAGAUGCGCAGAUAUCAGGAGGAACACCAAUGGCGAAGGCAGCUCGCUGGGACGUGACUGACGCUGAGACGCGAAAGCGUGGGGAGCAAACAGG